GUUAGGAAUAUUGGACAAUGGGCGAAAGCCUGAUCCAGCCAUGCCGCGUGAACGAUGAAGGCCUUCGGGUUGUAAAGCUCUUUAGUCCACGAAUAUAAUGACUGUAGUGGAAGAAUAAGCCCCGGCUAACUUCGUGCCAGCAGCCGCGGUAAUACGAAGGGGGCGAGCGUUAUUCGGAAUCACUGGGCGUAAAGCGUGCGUAGGCUGUUUUGUAAGUCAGAAGUGAAAGCCCAGGGCUUAACCCUGGAAUUGCUUUUGAAACUACAAGACUCGAAUUCGGGAGAGGAUAGCGGAAUUGUCAGUGUAGCAGUGAAAUGCGUAGAUAUUGACAGGAACACCAGUGGCGCAAGCGGCUAUCUGGACCGAUAUUGACGCUGAGGCACGAAAGCGUGGGGAGCAAACAGGAUUAGAUACCCUAGUAGUCC
This 425-nucleotide ribosomal RNA is filed under the name uncultured bacterium. RNAcentral describes it as "partial 16S ribosomal RNA". It matches the Rfam family "Bacterial small subunit ribosomal RNA", at positions 354 to 796 of the family's 1533-position model. The record is from RNAcentral.